This 561-nucleotide ribosomal RNA is filed under the name Cercospora codiaei. Its description in RNAcentral is "eukaryotic LSU rRNA". The stretch from base 201 to 354 matches the Rfam family "5.8S ribosomal RNA". The record is from RNAcentral. Lineage: Eukaryota; Fungi; Ascomycota; Dothideomycetes; Mycosphaerellales; Mycosphaerellaceae.
GGAAGUAAAAGUCGUAACAAGGUCUCCGUAGGUGAACCUGCGGAGGGAUCAUUACUGAGUGAGGGCCUUCGGGCUCGACCUCCAACCCUUUGUGAACACAACUUGUUGCUUCGGGGGCGACCCUGCCGUUUCGACGGCGAGCGCCCCCGGAGGCCUUCAAACACUGCAUCUUUGCGUCGGAGUUUAAGUAAAUUAAACAAAACUUUCAACAACGGAUCUCUUGGUUCUGGCAUCGAUGAAGAACGCAGCGAAAUGCGAUAAGUAAUGUGAAUUGCAGAAUUCAGUGAAUCAUCGAAUCUUUGAACGCACAUUGCGCCCCUUGGUAUUCCGAGGGGCAUGCCUGUUCGAGCGUCAUUUCACCACUCAAGCCUCGCUUGGUAUUGGGCGCCGCGGUGUUCCGCGCGCCUCAAAGUCUCCGGCUGAGCUGUCCGUCUCUAAGCGUUGUGAUUUCAUUAAUCGCUUCGGAGCGCGGGCGGUCGCGGCCGUUAAAUCUUUCACAAGGUUGACCUCGGAUCAGGUAGGGAUACCCGCUGAACUUAAGCAUAUCAAUAAGCGGAGGAA